Molecule: long non-coding RNA, 1790 nt
Organism: Bos taurus (domestic cattle)
Lineage: Eukaryota; Metazoa; Chordata; Mammalia; Artiodactyla; Bovidae
Source: Ensembl
AGUUCUGGGCGGGUGUCCCAGCCCCGGGCCUGUCCGGCGGGCAGACCGCGGGACGCCGCGCUAGAUGCCCGCGGGGAGCGCGGAGAGCUGGAGGGAGGCCCAAAGCCAACCCGUCUGCAACGAAGUCGCGCGUCUGGAACGAAGGCAGCUCAUUUGGUUUCUCCAGACCUUUCCAGACCCUCGCACGGAACCUAGGGCGUGUCGCCCAAGUCUCCAUCGCCCAGCCCCAGACGGAAGCCACUGGUAGGACGUGGUUGGAGUGGGAGCAGCACCUAGCGAGCACUGACGAAGUGGCUGCUUUGGCCCCGCUCCCUUACCCUUGUGUUAUACAUGAAGAAGCUCAGCCCUAGAAGGGACUUGACUGGACCAAGACGACAUACUGGAGCUGGACAAAAGCCUGGUUCUAUGGCCCCUCAUACAGGAUGUUGUCCACCCAAGCUGCCUGUCAAGGUUCACUCCUUGUGAGCACCCAGCACGGCACCUGGCACACAGGCUAAAUGGUGGCACGUGGAAUAAAUGGAUGAGGUUUAAUGCUGAUUGGACCAUUAGCAUCUCCAGAGCUACAUGCCUCUCCCCUCGGUGGCUGUGGGUGUGGAGACUCAGCAAAGCCUGAAGAAUGAAAACAGUGGGCACUCAGAAAAGAGGAUGGCCAGGGAGGUACAGCCAAGAGAGGGGUUAAGCUGGCGGCUGUGGAUCGGACACUCCCAUUCCCAUAGCAGGGCCUAAUUCCCACCAGGUCUCAGUCCCAGAGGGUCCAUGAGCAGAGUGGGUCUCCGUGAUGGUGUUUGCAAUAUGGGGAUGUGAGCAUGUGACUAGUGUGUAACUGAGACUGCAUGUGUGUGACUCUUUGUGGCUUGGGCGUGGCUCGGCGCAUUGUAUGCUGUGUGGCUGUGGGCUGCAUGUGACCAUGGUGUGGCUGUGUGUUUGCGUGACUGUGGGUAGAAAUGGGCAUUGCCUGUGUGAUGCUGUGUAUGCCUCUCGGAGGCUGGCUCUAGAGUGCUGGGUGUCAGUGUGUGCACAUGGCUGUCUGUGCAGCUGUGUGUGCGCCUCUGGGAGGAGACGGCUGUCAUGGGUGUACAUGACCGUGUAGGAUCUGUGAUGUUAUUCGAGUGUGCCUUCUAGUCUGGCUGUGUGAUGGUGAGUGUUUACGCCUGGUGGGUUGCAUGCCCUCAGUGUGUCACUGUGUGUCCCUCGGGGACUCAGCGUGUCACUAUGUGUGACUGUGUGAGACAGCAUGCCCCUCAAACCACCUUCCUUGAGCAGCUUUGAUGUGGUUGUUUCUAGGGGCCGUAGGACGCCAGUCACACUCCUGAGGACUUCAAAAGAUGGCUGUCCUUUCUGUCAGCUGGCGAAAAACUCAUUUCCCCUCACCCUCACCCUCUCCUCUGCCUGUCUUAGAGGCCUGUUUGUUUUCUUAUUUGUACUGCCUAGGGUGAGUUCAUGGCCACAACUGACUCACCACUCUUUCCAAGAGACUUGGGGAAGGAAAUAGGGGUUGCUUGGCUGGGGCCUCUGCCCACUAGCCCGGGGACUUUCAGAGCAGGGCCAGGGGGAACAUCGGGGUCUAUUCUGGGCUGUGUGAGCACCUCAAGCCAUUCACCCUCCCCAAACCUGCAAGGCCGAGGAGUCUUCUUUCACGGUAAUUGUCUAGUGGCCAGUCUCCUACCUCAAAUAAGAGGCCUCUCUCCUCAUCUAAAAGUUCUCCCUUCCCUUUGCCAAGGUCGAUUAAAAAGAAAGUUGGAGCUUUGGAGGGGCCCUUGGCAUCUCCCUGGGAAUCGGAGUCACCGCAG